UGACCCCGUGCGGGAGAGUCCUCCGACACCACCGGAGGCGCCGAAGGAGCAAAUCCUCCCCGGAAUCUCUCAGGCCCACGUACCGCACGGACGAG
Molecule: non-coding RNA, 95 nt
Filed under: Streptomyces pactum
Lineage: Bacteria; Bacillati; Actinomycetota; Actinomycetes; Kitasatosporales; Streptomycetaceae
Also listed under: 1 other name
Description: Glycine sequence
Rfam family: Glycine riboswitch aptamer
About the family: This family represents the bacterial glycine riboswitch. Glycine riboswitches usually consist of two metabolite-binding aptamers domains with similar structures in tandem. The aptamers cooperatively bind glycine to regulate the expression of downstream genes.
Source: RNAcentral